RNAcentral lists this ribosomal RNA (253 nucleotides) under uncultured bacterium. RNAcentral describes it as "partial 16S ribosomal RNA". It matches the Rfam family "Bacterial small subunit ribosomal RNA", at positions 524 to 776 of the family's 1533-position model. The record is from RNAcentral.
UACGAAGGGGGCUAGCGUUGUUCGGAAUUACUGGGCGUAAAGCGUUUGUAGGCGGUUAAGUAAGUCAGUGGUGAAAGCCCAGGGCUCAACCCUGGAAUUGCCAUUGAAACUACUUAGCUAGAGAAUGUUAGAGGAAAGUGGAAUUCCUAGUGUAGGAGUGAAAUCCGUAGAGAUUAGGAGGAAUAUCGAUGGCGAAGGCAGCUUUCUGGGACAUUUCUGACGCUGAGAAACGAAAGCGUGGGUAGCAAACAGG